GACGAACGCUGGCGGCGUGCUUAACACAUGCAAGUCGAACGGAAAGGCGCGGCUCGGGUGGGGUGCUCGAGGGGCGAAGGGGUGAGUAACACGGGAGUAACCUGAGCUGGAGGGGGGGAUAACGUGAGGAAAGGGGGGAUAAUACAGGAUAGGAGCGGGUGCUGCAGGGGGGGGGAAGGAAAGUGCGGGCGGGGGGGGAUGGACGCGCGGCUUAUCAGCUUGUUGGUGGGGGAGUGGCUUACCAAGGCUUUGGCGGGUGGCCCGCCUGAGAGGGUGACCGGCCCCCUUGGUCCUGAGAUACGCCCCAGUCUCCUACUGGAGGCAGCAGUGGGGACUAUUGCCCAAUCGGCGGACGCCUGAUGCAGCAACGCCGCGUGCGGGAUGACCGUCUUCGCGUUGUAAACCCCUUUCGCCUGUUACGACGCGUGAGUGACGGUACUGGAUAAAUAAGCACCGGCUAACUACGUG
RNAcentral lists this ribosomal RNA (468 nucleotides) under uncultured bacterium. Its description in RNAcentral is "partial 16S ribosomal RNA". It matches the Rfam family "Bacterial small subunit ribosomal RNA", at positions 28 to 507 of the family's 1533-position model. The record is from RNAcentral.